GGCUAUUCCAUAUCAGCAUCUUUUCUCUAGAUCAAAUCUUUAGUAGUAGUCUAGAACCUCUACAGAAGUUCGAUCUGAUCGUUUUUUGCUGCAUAAACCCCAAUCAACAAUGCCGAUGACAGUGAUAGAAGUGGCAGCGCCGAGUCCAAUGAGGUACAUGAUGGGAGCUGCUGUAAUGAUGAUCGGCGUUGUUUUGCCUCUUGCUUAUAUGAUGUUUAGGAACAAACGUGUUCCUUCCUCUUCUUCUUAUUCUAAACAGACGAAUAAGGUUCUUAUAUAGAUUAUGGAGGCAUACUCAGAAUGAACUUUUGUUAAAGAGAAACAAGGAGAAGAGCAGAGGUGGCAACUCAGCAAUUGUCGUAAAUGCAUUAACUUUCUUAUUUGGAUUGAGACUUCUUGAACUAUAUUGUUAAUUUUUACUAAACUUUAGGAUUUUUCUUUCCCAGAGAUUAGACCAUGCUCUCCUCUCAAGGAUAUAGUUUAGCUUGGUAAUCACAAGUCGAAUAGAAAGAAAACCCACUACCGCUGUAUUAUUAUUAUUAUUUCAUAUAUGAUUGAUUUUUUUU
Molecule: unclassified non-coding RNA, 566 nt
Filed under: Hevea brasiliensis (rubber tree)
Lineage: Eukaryota; Viridiplantae; Streptophyta; Magnoliopsida; Malpighiales; Euphorbiaceae
Source: RNAcentral